CAGGAAAGUCCAGGAACAGAGCAUUUUCUCCCUCAUGGAGAGAGAGGGUCAGGAACCAAAAAGGGUUUGAACGGAGCUACUCUUGGAAAUGGGAGUACGUUUGUCAUAUUUGAAACAGUCUAUGGCAAUAAAGAAAACACAGAACUGUCUCCAUAAAACUGUUUGACCAGUACUCCCUGACGAUGCUGGAACAUCCGCUUACAGAAAGAUUUGUAUGUGACUGUCUGUGCAACCUCCUCUG
Pseudophryne corroboree (corroboree frog) is the source of this 241-nucleotide long non-coding RNA. RefSeq lists it as uncharacterized. The record is from RefSeq and is a predicted model, not a curated record. The transcript is spliced from 3 exons. NCBI's taxonomy places the organism in Eukaryota, Metazoa, Chordata, Amphibia, Anura, Myobatrachidae.